Molecule: ribosomal RNA, 301 nt
Filed under: uncultured bacterium
Lineage: Bacteria
Description: partial 16S ribosomal RNA
Rfam family: Bacterial small subunit ribosomal RNA
Source: RNAcentral
CAGUAGCCCGGGAAUACAGAGGGUGCGAGCGUUAAUCGGAUUUACUGGGCGUAAAGCGUGCGUAGGCGGCUUUUUAAGUCGGAUGUGAAAUCCCUGAGCUUAACUUAGGAAUUGCAUUCGAUACUGGGAAGCUAGAGUAUGGGAGAGGAUGGUAGAAUUCCAGGUGUAGCGGUGAAAUGCGUAGAGAUCUGGAGGAAUACCGAUGGCGAAGGCAGCCAUCUGGCCUAAUACUGACGCUGAGGUACGAAAGCAUGGGGAGCAAACAGGAUUAGAGACCCCAGUAGUCCCUGUCUCUUAUACA